RNAcentral lists this ribosomal RNA (455 nucleotides) under marine sediment bacterium ISA-1325. RNAcentral's name for it is "bacterial SSU rRNA". It matches the Rfam family "Bacterial small subunit ribosomal RNA", at positions 37 to 489 of the family's 1533-position model. The record is from RNAcentral.
UGGCGGCAGGCCUAACACAUGCAAGUCGAGCGGUAACAUUUCUAGCUUGCUAGAAGAUGACGAGCGGCGGACGGGUGAGUAAUGCUUGGGAACAUGCCUUGAGGUGGGGGACAACAGUUGGAAACGACUGCUAAUACCGCAUAAUGUCUACGGACCAAAGGGGGCUUCGGCUCUCGCCUUUAGAUUGGCCCAAGUGGGAUUAGCUAGUUGGUGAGGUAAUGGCUCACCAAGGCAACGAUCCCUAGCUGGUUUGAGAGGAUGAUCAGCCACACUGGAACUGAGACACGGUCCAGACUCCUACGGGAGGCAGCAGUGGGGAAUAUUGCACAAUGGGCGAAAGCCUGAUGCAGCCAUGCCGCGUGUGUGAAGAAGGCCUUCGGGUUGUAAAGCACUUUCAGUCAGGAGGAAAGGGUGUGAGUUAAUACCUCACAUCUGUGACGUUACUGACAGAAGAA